AAAUACAUGCCAUUUAUUUCUGUACAUAACCAAAGCACUUGUAAUUAGUGUCUUCAGAUGGAAAACCAGACAAAUUUGCGCCACCCCCCCCCCCCCCCCGAGAUUAAGUGCUAUGUUGUCAGGCUCAUGCUAACAAAAUAAUAAAAAAAAAGCUCAAUGCCUCUUUUUUUUUUUUUCCCUAAAAAGUACAUUUUAUAAUUAAGAAAAGGGCUAAAAAUAUUUAAAAGGCAUAUUCUUAUCGGGAAGGAAUAAAAGAAUACUGCUUUUUCCUUGUGAGCCUUGCUCCAGUGCUGGAGAGAUGUUCGGUGGUUGCGGCUGAUAGCAAUCCAACUUGAGAGAAGAAUGCAAAACAGAAGAACAAUAUUUACUUGAAGCUAAUUGUAAUUUUCACAAAUGGUCACCAAAAGAGCCCAAAUAUCAGCAGAAAAGAGAAGCUGCUGUGUCUCUUUGUUGCAGGAACACUGCCUUCCUGCAUGUAGGGUUAAGGCAAUCUUAUCUCCAUCUGCUGCCUCGAUUAGAAGAGAAGGGGAACUGCUGUUCAGGUGAUAAGAGAGACCAGAGGCUUCUCCAUUAAUAUGUAAACUUUGGAUCAAAAAGGAAGACAAGAGGCUCCAGGCAGAAGCCACCUCUCAAUAGAUGGGUUUUGAAUUUGCAUGCACCAGCAAAAGGCACAUCUAGUAUGUGCUGGCUCCUAUAAAGGGGAGGAAGGGAAGGGAUGGGAUGGGAUGGAGGCAUGACCCCACUAAACUUUUCCUGUUUGGUUUGAAUAAUGUCUACCUGUGAAGGAUGUUUACCUGAAGUAAUGUCUUUGUAAUGUUUGUCCAAGCUCUCUGUGAUAGAUUCUCAAAUCCAGAAAGGAUCAUGUCAGUCAAACCUAAUCUCUUACCCUUCAUGGCAAGCAACAUUUGUAUUUGCCCUGUAGGAUGGACUGAGCCACCAAUAACUCGUUAAAAAAACAAAACCAAAAGGACAGAGAACUUGCCAAGCACCUGGCCAGCUUAUGCCAUGGUUUAUGCCCUGCCUGUCUUGGAGGGGGAAAAACAUGUGGAAAAAUUCAAGUGUCAACACUAGAUCAGGAAACAGUCACUGAGGGUCUGCAUCACAAGGGUGUAUGCAGAGCUGCAAUGAGAUGCAUUAAUGCCUUGGAGACACCAAUGUCUCUUCCCAUUUUCCUUCAGCCAGUCCCUACUUGAGUCCCCCUAUGUCUUUCCAGCCUCCCUCCCUCAGCAGCUUGUGGGUCUUCAGUAUUUUUCCAACUUUUUAAGCUCCAUCUUCAAGACAAUUUUCCCUGUUUCGAGACGAGGAUUGAGAAUGCUGGUCCAUGCUCUUUAGAAGGGCCUCUUGCAAUUUGCUACACUCUCCCCUGCUCUGUUUUAACUUUGCCUUCAUUUCCCCAGUUUUGGGGAAAGCUCUUUGGGCUGCAUUCCUCUACCUUGCUCUUUUUUUUUUUUUGCGCCGAGUAGAAAUCUGACCCUCACUGAAGCACAAGCUGUUCUCCCACAGGCAUCACCUUUGCUGCCUGAUGUGGCAUCAGCCACAUCCCUGGCAACAGAGUGCAAAUUCCCCCCAGGAAUGAGAGGAUGGCCCCAACCUGUGAGGGCAUCUGAGUUGCCUUCAUAUGAAAAUAAAUGUAAACACCUUCAAUUAAUCCAGGAAGAACACAGACUGAUUGGCAAUAGGCUAUGGAGAAUUUGUGUUGCUUAUCUGCCUUUCUCCCUGAAGAUUAUUCUGGGGCUGCAUUUAAAAAAAAAAAAAAAAAAAAA
This is a long non-coding RNA of Strigops habroptila (Kakapo), 1763 nucleotides long. Lineage: Eukaryota; Metazoa; Chordata; Aves; Psittaciformes; Psittacidae. The record is from Ensembl.